AUAUACUAUUAAUAAAAAUAUAAAUUGGAACGAUACAGAGAAGAUUGGCUCCUGCGCAAGGAUGACACGCAAAAUCGUGAGGCGUUUCACAUUUUU
Odontomachus brunneus is the source of this 96-nucleotide small nuclear RNA. NCBI's taxonomy places the organism in Eukaryota, Metazoa, Arthropoda, Insecta, Hymenoptera, Formicidae. The record is from RefSeq and is a predicted model, not a curated record.